GUCGGCAGCGUCAGAUGUGUAUAAGAGACAGGUGCGUAAUAGCUCACUGGUCGAGAGACCCUGCGCCGAAGAUUCCCGGGGCUAAAGUACGAAACCGAAGCUGUGGCUGUAUACGUAAAGUAUACGGGGUAGGGGAGCGUUCCCAUAGGGUAGAAGUCGAACUGGAAGGUUCGGUGGACUUGUGGGAAGUGAGAAUGUUGGUAUGAGUAGCGAAAAGAAAGGUGAGAAUCCUUUCCACCGAAAGCAUAAGGAUUCCUGAGCAACGAUCGUCGUCUCAGGGUAAGUCGGGACCUAAUCCGAGGCAGAGAGCGUAGGAGAUGGACAACUGGUUGAUAUUCCAGUACCGGUAGUAAUUGUUUGAGCAAUGGAGUGACACAGAAGGGCAGGCAAGCAUGCGAAUGGAAGAGCAUGUGUAAGCGUGUAGGGUGGUGCAUAGGCAAAUCCGUGCACUGAAAGCCUGAGGCGUGAUGCGGAGUGAGCAGAGAUGCGAGCGAAGUUGUUGACCCCACACUGUCGAGAAAAGCUUCUAGUGAGAGAGCUACCGCCCGUACCGUAAACCGACACAGGUAUGCGGGGAGAGAAUCCUAAGGUGCGCGGGAGAACCCUCGUUAAGGAACUCGGCAAAAUGUACCCGUAACUUCGGGAUAAGGGUAGCCACUGUUGUGAAGUCCCAUGCGGAUGGAGCAUAGAGUGGUCGCAGAGAAGAGGCCCAAGCGACUGUUUACCAUAAACACAGGUGCCUGCUAAAGCGAAAGCUGACGUAUAGGUGCUGACACCUGCCCAGUGCCGGAAGGUUAAGGAAGGAUGUUCGGAUUAGUCCAAAGCAUUCGACUGAAGCCCCGGUGAACGGCGGCCGUAACUAUAACGGUCCUAAGGUAGCGAAAUUCCUUGUCGGGUAAGUUCCGACCCGCACGAAAGGUGUAACGAUUUGGGCACUGUCUCAACGAGGGACCCGGUGAAAUUGAAAUACCUGUGAAGAUGCAGGUUACCCGCGACUGGACAGAAAGACCCCAUGGAGCUUUACUGUAACCUGACAUUGGGUUUUGAUACAUUACGUACAGGAUAGGUGGGAGGCAUGGAAAGCUGGACGCUAGUCUGGCUGGAGCCGACGUUGGGAUACCACCCUUGAUGUAUUGAAAUUCUAACCGCGAGAGUAACGAAAUCCGGGACAGUGUCAGGCGGGCAGUUUGACUGGGGCGGUCGCCUCCGAAAGAGUAACGGAGGCGCCCAAAGGUUCCCUCAGCGCGGCCGGAAAUCGCGCGAAGAGUGUAAAGGCAGAAGGGAGCUUGACUGCGAGUCAAACACGACGAGCAGGUACGAAAGUAGGGCUUAGUGAUCCGGUGGUACCGAGUGGAAGGGCCAUCGCUCAACGGAUAAAAGCUACCCUGGGGAUAACAGGCUAAUCUCUCCCAAGAGUCCAUAUCGACGGGGAGGUUUGGCACCUCGAUGUCGGCUCAUCACAUCCUGGGGCUGAAGUCGGUCCCAAGGGUUGGGCUGUUCGCCCAUUAAAGUGGUACGUGAGCUGGGUUCAGAACGUCGUGAGACAGUUCGGUCCCUAUCCAUCGCGGGCGCAAGAGAUUUGAAGGGGGCUGCUCCUAGUACGAGAGGACCGGAGUGGACGAACCGCUGGUGUACCAAUUAUCCCGCCAGGGGUACAGUUGGGUAGCUACGUUCGGAAAGGAUAAACGCUGAAAGCAUCUAAGCGUGAAACCAGCCUUAAGAUGAGAUCUCUCAUAGAGCAAUCUAGU
RNAcentral lists this ribosomal RNA (1748 nucleotides) under human gut metagenome. RNAcentral's name for it is "bacterial LSU rRNA". It matches the Rfam family "Bacterial large subunit ribosomal RNA", at positions 1105 to 2829 of the family's 2925-position model. The record is from RNAcentral.